Molecule: ribosomal RNA, 538 nt
Filed under: uncultured bacterium
Lineage: Bacteria
Description: bacterial SSU rRNA
Rfam family: Bacterial small subunit ribosomal RNA
Source: RNAcentral
GGCAUGGCUAAAACAUGCAAGUCGAACGCGUGUAGCAAUACACGAGUGGCGAAAGGGCGAGGAAUAGAUUCCUACGUACCCCGGAGUCAGGGAUAACCAUCGGAAACGGUGGCUAACACCUGAUGAUCUCGAAAGAGCAAAGUUUACGCUCUGGGAGCGGGGAAUCUCCUAUCAGGUAGUUGGUGAGGUAAUGGCUCACCAAGCCUUAGACGGGUAGCGGGUGUGAGAGCACGGCCCGCCGCAUCGGGACUGAGACACUGCCCGGACUCCUACGGGAGGCUGCAGUAACGAAUCUUCCGCAAUGCACGAAAGUGUGACGGGGCAAUGCCGCGUGUGGGAUGAAGCCCCUCGGGGUGUAAACCACUGUCAGGGUCUAGGAACACAAUGACCAUACCCAAAGGAAGCACCGGCUAACUCUGUGCCAGCAGCCGCGGUAAUACAGAGGGUGCGGGCGUUAAUCGGAAUACUGGGCUUAAAGGGUCCGUAGGCUGGGCUGUACGCGUCGAGUGAAAUACCACGGCUCAACCGUGGAACUGCU